CACGCGUGUGCCAGGGAGGAUGCUGCCACCACGCUCUUCGAAGAUGUGCGGAGUCGUCGUGUCUGUACGGUUGACACCUCUACCACCGUCGCUGCCUUCGAGGAGGAUUCGUGCCUGCAUCUUAAUGUUCGCCAAGCCCAUUACAUCGCUGGUUCAGGACACACAACAAAACAAAUCUGAACCUCAGCGACAUAUUUGCUGGGAGAGAAGGAGGAUAAAAAGUGUUGGUCCUCUUCACAGGAUAGACCUUUUAUGUAUCAUGUAUCCAAGCAGGCUGCAUGUGAGGUGAAUCAAGGUAACUAUAUGAUGUAGUGAAGUAUAAACUCCUCUCCCUAUAAUAUGCAGCCUUCAAACCAUAGGUUUGUGAAUUUUAUGCCAGCUGGGCCUCUUUCAUUUUAAUGCUUGAGUCCUAUUAUUUCAUUUCUCCAAGCUUUUGAGUUCUAAUAUUGUUCUGUAUUAUGAGCUCUUGAACAUUUGCCUGCACAACAAUGAUCUAUAAUAAUUCCCUUCUAAGCCUAGAGAUAGUUGUACACAUCAUUUAUUCAAUCCUAAAUUACUCUAUGCUCUGAAUUACUCCCGUGGUGCAUUUUAUGUCCCCCUUACAUCUAUAUCUAUGUCUUCUUACUCAUAUACAUGCUUUCCCAUGUAAUCAUCCUUAACAAUUGUCAUGUUCAAUCUGUAACUACUUAUCAGGGUAUUUUCUGAUUUUUUUAUGUUGCCGCUUACUGAUCUUACGACAUGGAGAGGAGAGGCCAAGUAGCAGCAAGCAUGCAGCUGUGUCAUGCAAACAAACUGAUACUGCAGAAAGUCACUGAUUGUACAAAACCAGAAAAACAAAUUGCAGCGCAAGCAUGCAAAGAGACAAUUGCGCGAAUCAAACACAUAUUCAAAUAAUAAGGCAGUGAGAGGCUUUAUAUUAGGCGGUGUACUGCAACAAGGUGCCUCCCUCCAUCAUCAUUCCAUUCUUCUCCUGUUUCCUAUCUGUCAGCUGCACCUACAACCGGUGCCCCAAUCUAGCUCGACAAUUGACGGCGGCUACAUCUGUUGUGGCCGGC
Molecule: long non-coding RNA, 1055 nt
Organism: Triticum dicoccoides
Lineage: Eukaryota; Viridiplantae; Streptophyta; Magnoliopsida; Poales; Poaceae
Exons: 3
Source: RefSeq, a predicted model, not a curated record